UAACGCGUGGGUAACCUGCCUUAUACAGGGGGAUAACAGUUAGAAAUGACUGCUAAUACCGCAUAAGCGCACAGGAUUGCAUGAUCUGGUGUGAAAAACUCCGGUGGUAUAAGAUGGACCCGCGUCUGAUUAGCUGGUUGGUGAGGUAACGGCCCACCAAGGCGACGAUCAGUAGCCGACCUGAGAGGGUGACCGGCCACAUUGGGACUGAGACACGGCCCAAACUCCUACGGGAGGCAGCAGUGGGGAAUAUUGCACAAUGGGGGAAACCCUGAUGCAGCGACGCCGCGUGAGCGAAGAAGUAUUUCGGUAUGUAAAGCUCUAUCAGCAGGGAAGAAAAAAAUGACGGUACCUGACUAAGAAGCCCCGGCUAACUACGUGCCAGCAGCCGCGGUAAUACGUAGGGGGCAAGCGUUAUCCGGAUUUACUGGGUGUAAAGGGAGCGCAGGCGGUGCGGCAAGUCUGAUGUGAAAGCCCGGGGCUCAACCCCGGGACUGCAUUGGAAACUGUCGUACUUGAGUAUCGGAGAGGUAAGUGGAAUUCCUAGUGUAGCGGUGAAAUGCGUAGAUAUUAGGAGGAACACCAGUGGCGAAGGCGGCUUACUGGACGAUAACUGACGCUGAGGCUCGAAAGCGUGGGGAGCAAACAGGAUUAGAUACCCUGGUAGUCCACGCCG
This 676-nucleotide ribosomal RNA is filed under the name uncultured bacterium. RNAcentral's name for it is "bacterial SSU rRNA". It matches the Rfam family "Bacterial small subunit ribosomal RNA", at positions 111 to 802 of the family's 1533-position model. The record is from RNAcentral.